Molecule: long non-coding RNA, 601 nt
Organism: Oreochromis aureus
Lineage: Eukaryota; Metazoa; Chordata; Actinopteri; Cichliformes; Cichlidae
Source: Ensembl
CUUUGGAAUAUGCUUUCAAGGUCUGUGAAGCCAAACUUGAUGCUGGGGAUUUAUUUUUGUCAGUGGAGUCAAAUGGUUGAAGCAGAAUUUGCCCGUCUUACAUCUGUUGACCUGAAAGGGUUCCUUUUUGCUGUGCUUGACCAUUAUGGAGAGGUUCGUGGAGCUGUACAAAAUCAAGAGCGGCAUAGGAGGGCUAACUAGGCUCAUAAAAUGCUUCAAUGAUGAUAGCCCUACACAAAGGAAGAGGACAGAGGACCUCAUUUUCUAAAGGAAGAGCCCUCACACACUUUCAAGACUGUGAAGCCGACAGGUAUUGAAGACACGUUUUCUAAGAGGAUGAAAGUUGGCAUUGCGAUGGUGAAAGAAGAAGACAUCAUCGAUGUGUUGGUUGUCCUUGAGGCGGCAGUAAUCCUGUCUAAUCUGAGGGAUGUCUCAAGUGCCAUUUCCAUGCUGAUGGGCCUUCUUUUUGCCCUCAACAUAGACUAUCCAAAGGAACUUAAGGACAUCUUUGAAGUCAUUCAGAACAUCCUAAUGAACAUUGGUGGAAGGCAGUGCAUCUCACUAGUGCAUGGUCUAAGAAACAGACUCUUGCAGAAAGCCA